UAAGAUAUAUUACAAUGUUUUAAUCGCAAUAUUUGACUUUCAGAAAUGAUAAACAUAGAUUUCUACUAUUAUUAAAGUUUUAUAAACUAUGGAAAGUUUAAAGCAUAUGUGCACAUAAAGUUAACCAAGUUAGUAUGUGAAAUGAAAUAAGUGGCAUGUUUUAAAAGAUAGAGGGGUUAAAAUGGAAAUAUGCUAUAAAUAAACACUUGACAAAAAUUAGUCAGUGUUUGGUCUGGGCGUGCGAACGAGAGAAGGAACCAAGGGAACCAAAACCCUAAACAACCUAAAAUCAUCAAAUUGAAAGGGGAAUCGAGGGCUGAUCGAAUGCAUGAGUCUAGAUACCCUUUAAUCUAAGUGUAUUGAUCAUAAGGAACGUGUCAAGGAGAGCUCAAGCAUAGGAGGAUAACGGGUCAAGAUAAGGCAAGGUGACAAAUACACUUAUUGGAAUACUCAAGGUAAGUGAUUUCUAUAAUCACUUCUUUAGUUGUUUAAGUAAUAUAAUGUUUUAAUUAUUAAGUUCAUAUGAAGUUGAGGUUAAAUCAAUGGAUUAUUUUGAUAAAUGCACGAAUGGGUCGAAUAAUUCAUGGAUGAAUAACAAGCCGAAUACGUAUAAGUUAAGGAAUUCCUUAACUCGGAUGUUGGACUUCAAGAUCACGUGAUAGAAUAUUAAAUUACAAUCAUAUAGGAAGAAACGUGACGCAAAACGGACGAAAAAUGAGAGAGUUAUGUCCAUUUCAGUAAGGAUUAAUGGCUAGGAAAAGUGCAGAGUUGACACGGCCGGGUGGUGAACUGACACGGCCGGGUGAAGGUUCUGUCAAAAAUAUUAUUUAUGUGAUUUAUGCGCCGUAGGCUUCGGUAUAUUAUAUGUGAACUACGACGGGCCUCCCAAACAUGAUUUCGAGUGUUUCCUUGACGAUUAUAAGUUGUAAACCCAAGUCUAAGACUCAUGUAAUUUAUAUAAGAGUGUGAUAGAUGUAUGUAAUGAAGUUGGACAUGUAUUACAUGUAAAUGUAUACAAAAAUACGUACGGAACACGUAGGUAUGAAUACAUGAUUGUAGGUAUGAUUAAAUGUAUAUUAGGUAUGUAGAUGUGUAUGAUUGUAAGUUUGUAUGUGUGCAAGUAUGUGCGAAUGCAUGAUUCGGAUGCAUUUGAGAAUUAGCGUUACUAAUAAUGCCCUUGGGUUUGGAAUAUAAGUUGAUUGGAUGCAUUUAAAUGGUUAACGUCCUUUUUAUGAAGAUGUAGUAAAUGAAUAUGUUGAGAUUACAGGUUUGGCUAACCAAGUUAUUAUUGAGUAUGUUUGAAAGUGCAGGUGAUGAAUGUCGGACUUUCGAAGUGUUGAUAUAAUAAUGAAACGGUUGAAUGUUGAAAGGAUAAUCGGACUGAAGUAACUUAUGCGGUUAGAAUAUGCUAUGGACGUUUUAGUUUAUACAAUAUUAUAUGUUUGGUCGUCACCAUCUACUAACAGGUUCGUUGUAUGAGAGUAUAUGUCAUACCCAUUUAAUUGGGUAAUCGAAUGCGUAAGAAAAAUGAAAGUACGCACACGAAUGGAACUAAAAUGACGGUUUUAUAAGCAAACAAGUAUAAUGACUAACUUUUUAAAGCUUUGUUGUUGAUUGUAGGUAAAUCCUCAAUUUUGGCGACUUGGAGAAUCGGAGCGAGCGCGUGUUCGUGUUAUGCGAUACCAAACGCUUCCGCUAGUUUGUUCAAGUGUUUUUGACCCAAAAUUUGUUGUAUUGGUUUUUAGUAGUAUCUUGUUGAACGAAUUGUAGAAUUGUAUCUAGUUUGUUUAUGUUUAAAACAGGGGUAUGCUCGUUUUAUGGACGGGUCAUGCCCGAUUUUUUGUUAAAUUAUAGUUUGAUAAUAUCACAUUUAGGAAGGUGAAA
Molecule: long non-coding RNA, 1884 nt
Organism: Helianthus annuus (common sunflower)
Lineage: Eukaryota; Viridiplantae; Streptophyta; Magnoliopsida; Asterales; Asteraceae
Exons: 2
Source: RefSeq, a predicted model, not a curated record